Non-coding RNA from Coturnix japonica (Japanese quail), 2836 nucleotides. The record is from RefSeq and is a predicted model, not a curated record. Lineage: Eukaryota; Metazoa; Chordata; Aves; Galliformes; Phasianidae.
CUCCCCCAGCCCUCCCCAUCCCAACCCCCCAUUCUUAUCCAUAGGCACAGGGUGAGUCACAGAGUAUGAGUCAGGGUUAGGAUUCACAUACAGGUCUGACCGUCAUCCUGAGCACUGGCGUACCAGACACCACUCCCAGAUAGCAACCCUUCAGACUUGGGGGCAGAGGGGGGUGGGGAACAAGACUAGUACUGAAAGUGAACACUGGAUUGUGCUUUUAUUUUCUAGUUGCUCUAAUGGAAGAAAGGGAUUUUGUCAGUUUACUUUGCCCGGGAAUUUAACACCUGUUGUGUAAAAGCCAACCUCUACCCCCAUGCCAGCCCUGCCUGAACACAGAAGGAUGACUGAAACCACAGCGGGCUGAACAGUUUGGGAGAUGACUGCAACACAGCUUUAAGAGCUACCACAGUUGAGAAAACACUGGAGGAUAUCUACUAGGUGACAAAAGGAAUGAACUUCCGGAUGUUUUUCAAAUCUUAUUCCUGUAAAUAAGAAACAGCUGACUGUGAUCCUGCAAAUUCCAGUUGAGAAAGCCACGCUGAUACUAAUGCAUUAUGCUGCGUCCAGAAUCCCUUGAUAGAAUUACAGCAUAACUGUACACAGCUGGGUGGAUAUGAUCAUGUUGCACCAAUAGAUCAUACUAUCAGGAAUAAGAGAAACUGAGAUCCAGCACUAACAUGCUACUACAACGCUGUGUCUCCAAAUUUAGUACGGUGUGUUUUUCAACACUAACUUUCUAACAACAUGGACAAAUAAAGCCAUGCAUACGCUGGCAAACCGUGGCAAGAGAAGUUUGCUGAUGACAGUCUUGUUAUUGUAACAGGAAGUGACUCAGCCUUGGCAACAAGAGAUCAGAUAUUUUAUUCAGAAGCAUUAGGUCAUUUUUUUUUCCCCUAACCAACCAACAGUUUCACAAGGCAACUGGUUUUGUUUGAAAAUAAAUAUCUAUUUUGAAAGUGAUUCGCUGAGGGAGUGGAGUUAAACAUUUAUGGUUAGGAAUAACUACUUGGUUUAAUUUAAAGCAUCUGGAAACUUCUUGUCCUGUUAACCCUCUUAAUGUGCUGUUUGUACAAAAUUCCUCCCCCUCAGGCAGGAAUUCUCCCACAUGGGGUCAUGAAGAUGACUGUUGUAAAGGAGCAUCUUUAAGAGAAGAUAUGCUGAGAGAGCUGUCAUUUUUCAACCUGGAAAACUGAAGGCUCAGAGGGACCUCAUCAAUUUGUAUACAUACCUGACAACAUGCAACCAAGAGGGAGCCAGGCUCUUUCUUUUGCAGGCAACCUAUUUCCUAAACAUGAUGCAACACAGCUAAGUACAAUAAUCCAGAUGUGAUUCAACUGAGGACUCUGAAAAUUAGCAUCUAUUCCUGGAAAUUCCUACUGCAUCCCGUGAUCUCAUUUACUGUCUUGAUACUGGCUGAAAGUCCUUCUGUGAGCCAGGUGAUCUCAUGAUCAGGUGAUCUCAUCAUCAGUGGUUAAAUGGCCAGUUUGUUCUUUUGUCAAGAUAACUGAUGACCUCCUGCAGUGCAAAAUCAAUUCUCGGUGUUGGUACGCAAGUGCACGAUCCCAAAUUUCGUAUUAUUUUUUCUUUCCACUGACAUUACUCCAGCCCACAGGGCCAUUCCUUUUUCUGUGAUAUUACAGUACAAUCCAUCUCUGUAUCAGCAAUAUCUCCCACCAUCAAACCAUCAUUAUAUUUCAUUACUUCUUUCCUAUUUCUUGUGCCAAGGUCAGGAAUGGAAAUAUCAGUUCAAAUAUUUUCAUGAAGUCCAGAAAAAUUAGAUCUGUCGCAGUUCUCUUGAGAAAAUCUAUUGAUAAGAGAAAAUCUAUUCUCUUAUCAGUGAAAUGUCUAAUUAAUGAUAUCACGUUAGCCUAAUGAAAUCUAAAUUAGACACCGGAGGAGUUUCUAUGGGAGCUAGCAGAAGGAUCAUAACUCUGUAUUUUUAAUUUGAUUGAGAUCCUAAUGCAAUCUCAAAAAAUAUCCAAGGAUUUCAGAAGAACUGCAGUAAAAUAUCUAGCAUGAUGAUAAAACCAUGACAAUAUGUAAUAGAAAAACGGCACCCAACACAUAAGUUAGAUCUUAAAUAUUAUUUGUCAUGCUUCUUAAAAUUCCUUGUACUAUUUUAAAAGCCAUUAUUUUAAAAAUAACACUGUCAUAUAAAUGUUUUGGAGUUUGGACUUCCAAUUUUUGAGUCAGUGAAAGUCACUUUGGUUGCAGCUUUAGGAUUUUUUUCAAACAUAAAAAGGCAGCAAGAGCCUAUUUUUCUCAUGGAACUCAGAUUUUGACCUAUUCACAUGCCUACAGGAUAAAAAAAAAAAAAGUCUUAAAAUUAAAACUAAAUAUCAUUAUAUGUUUUACAGUUGUGCGAGCAUCAGUUGUAGUUAGGCACAAGCAGAACUUUUGAGGCACUAGGGAAAGAGGGAAUUUUAAAAAUAAUUACAUAUCGGGUUAAAUGUUGCCAUCAUAUUGAAAUUUCACAAGAAAGGUCAUUUCACAAAGUGAUUGUUGCUCCAGAGAUUUUAUAUAAGUGGUCUGUACUAUUGCAAUUGUACUGAAAUAGGAGAACAUCCACUGAGAUUAUGAUGGAGAGAGGAAUUACAUAUAUCGUGUAUUUAUUCAACUCUGUCCGAGUGUGUGAGAAUGAACAUUCUACAUACCGUAUCAAGACUGAAGUGUGAAUGACGGAUAUGUGGAUGUGUGACAAGCUUGAAAAAAAUAAAUAAAGCAAUGCUAAAACACUAUAGGAAAUAACUGAAUGGAGUGGAAUGGAUUCUGCUUUGGGUGACACUUUGACUAGAAAGGCUGUCUUACAGGGCACAAUUUAGACCAUGGCGUGCAC